RNAcentral lists this small RNA (125 nucleotides) under Marmota monax (woodchuck). Lineage: Eukaryota; Metazoa; Chordata; Mammalia; Rodentia; Sciuridae. The record is from RNAcentral.
GCUGGAUGAGGUGGCGCACACCUGUGAUCCCAGUGGCUUGGGAGGCUGAGGCAGGAGGAUCACGAGUUCAAACUCAGCCUCAGCAACAGCAAGGCACUAAACAACUCAGUGAGACCCUGCCUCUA